CCUACGGUGGGCAGCAGUGGGGAAUAUUGGACAAUGGGCGAAAGCCUAAUCCAGCCAUGCCGCGUGUGUGAAGAAGGCCUUCGGGUUGUAAAGCACUUUCAGUGGGGAAGAAAGCCUUGGGGCUAAUACCCUCGAGGAAGGACAUCACCCACAGAAGAAGCACCGGCUAACUCCGUGCCAGCAGCCGCGGUAAUACGGAGGGUGCGAGCGUUAAUCGGAAUUACUGGGCGUAAAGCGCGCGUAGGCGGUCUGAUAAGCCGGUUGUGAAAGCCCCGGGCUCAACCUGGGAACGGCAUCCGGAACUGUCAGGCUAGAGUGCAGGAGAGGAAGGUAGAAUUCCCGGUGUAGCGGUGAAAUGCGUAGAGAUCGGGAGGAAUACCAGUGGCGAAGGCGGCCUUCUGGACUGACACUGACGCUGAGGUGCGAAAGCGUGGGUAGCAAACAGGAUUAGAUACCCCAGUAGUC
This 465-nucleotide ribosomal RNA is filed under the name Vreelandella stevensii. RNAcentral describes it as "partial 16S ribosomal RNA". It matches the Rfam family "Bacterial small subunit ribosomal RNA", at positions 338 to 795 of the family's 1533-position model. Lineage: Bacteria; Pseudomonadati; Pseudomonadota; Gammaproteobacteria; Oceanospirillales; Halomonadaceae. The record is from RNAcentral.